GACGAACGCUGGCGGCGUGCCUAACACAUGCAAGUCGAACGUGAAGCCGGUGCUUGCACCGGUGGAAAGUGGCGAACGGGUGAGUAACACGUGAGAAACCUGCCCCGGAGACCGGGACAACCAUUGGAAACGAUGGCUAAUACCGGAUACCCCCGGUUGGUCGCAUGACCAGCCGAGGAAAGGCUCUGGCGCUCUGGGAGGGUCUCGCGGCCUAUCAGUUAGUUGGUGGGGUAACGGCCUACCAAGACAUCGACGGGUAGCUGGUCUGAGAGGACGAUCAGCCACAUUGGGACUGAGACACGGCCCAGACUCCUACGGGAGGCAGCAGUGGGGAAUAUUGCGCAAUGGGCGAAAGCCUGACGCAGCAACGCCGCGUGAGGGAUGACGGCUUUCGGGUUGUAAACCUCUUUCAGUGAUGACGAAAAUGACGGUAGUCACAGAAGAAGGUCCGGCCAACUACGUG
This 463-nucleotide ribosomal RNA is filed under the name uncultured bacterium. Its description in RNAcentral is "bacterial SSU rRNA". It matches the Rfam family "Bacterial small subunit ribosomal RNA", at positions 28 to 507 of the family's 1533-position model. The record is from RNAcentral.